This is a long non-coding RNA of Bombyx mori (domestic silkworm), 1548 nucleotides long. RefSeq lists it as uncharacterized. The transcript has 2 exons. The record is from RefSeq and is a predicted model, not a curated record. NCBI's taxonomy places the organism in Eukaryota, Metazoa, Arthropoda, Insecta, Lepidoptera, Bombycidae.
UCCCAAUUGACCCCUUUUUCGUUGUUAUUUGUACCUAAGACGUCCCCAAUAUCCCCAAAAACAACAGAUUUUUACAUGUAUUUUUAUUUAAUCAAAUACAUUAAAACCAAUAACAACUGAGACUUACCUUUAAUAUAUAUGCUGGUUCAAACACUAAAUAACGUUUAUAAAUCAUAGUCGUCUUCUAUUAUUAUCAAAUAAAUAAAAGAGAGCAAAGUUUCUAGCACUAAAAUAAUUACCACCACAGGAAGUUAAUUUGAAACGCGAUUUUUUAUAAGUUAGCAGCUAUUAUCAUGCAUAUUCAGAGUUGUUUUGUGAACUUUCAACAUUCUACUAUUAAACUACAAAAAAUGGAAGAUUUUGCAACGAAUAUAAAACUUAUAUUGAGCGUCGAAAGAUUUUCCCGGUUUUUUCCCGAUUCGCCUCUCAAUCCCUAAUCGCCCCAUUUUACCGGUACAUAAUGUGAAAUUUUUUUCAUCUGUUGAAUGAAGAUAUUUCAUUGGAAUUUAUAAGGCUGUUUAUUGAAAAGUAAUGUUGUAAAUAGUUAGUCGUCAAUCGAACGGCAGAUACUGUAUUUUUCGUUACAAGCCCGAAUCAAGUAGCUAUACAGAGUUAGAGGAUUCCCUGAGAACACAUUUCGUUUAUACACAUUGGCUUUACUAAUAAUAAGAUGGCUAGAUGUAAUGUGAAACUUAUAACUAUUGAAUAAAAUGGGUUUAUUUGAAAAAGCUGACAAUAUUAAAUUGAUAUAAGGCUUGAUGACAAAUGCAAAGAAUACCUUUCAUGAAAUUUAAAAUAUGGCUGUAUACAAAUAGCUUGAUAAUGAUUUAAAAAAAACUCAUUUAAAUUUAAAAUAAGUUGCGGUGGUCUAGUAAACAAACACAUUAGGUAAAGGGCAACAUUUCAGAUGAGUAUUCAAAAAUAUAUCAAUUGAAUAUGUUUUAAAUAAUUGAUCCUGCAAUAAUCAAAGAGCAAAUAAAUAAUUAUAAUAUGCACUAUUAUUUGUCUUUGUUUUCAUAUCACUUGUUUGUUUUAGGCACUUUCAUUGUCUGGUGACUGCUGCUAGAGUUUAUUUUACAAUUUUUGCACAAAGUGUGCAGUGCAUUUGCUAUAUCAUAUUUGACGAAAAUUGUUUACAGAUAACAGUAGAAUGAGACGGAUUAUAAUACAUAAUUUCUUUGAAAACAAGAUAGAUAUAGUUUGUUCCGGGUUCAUGCAAAAUUAGUCAAAAUCAAAAUCAAAGUUUGUUAGGUAGUUUGUUCAUUUUCAUUUUGUUCAUUUCCUAUUUUGAAACAUGAUGUUAGCGUUAGAAAAAUGUAAAUACAUCUGUAGGAUUGUUAUCUUUAGAAUGUAUACAAUUCAGAAAAAUGAUGAAAAAAUGUUUUUACAAUCACACAUUUUAUCAGCUCUAUACAUUGGCUUAGUUUUUUGUUAAUAUAACUCACAAUGUCUAGGUUAUUUUACAUUUUGUUCCACGACAAUAGUAAUCACAAUAUUAAUACUAAAAUAGAUUCUUAUCUACUUUAAAAUAAACAAAAUAUUAAACUA